Molecule: ribosomal RNA, 253 nt
Filed under: uncultured bacterium
Lineage: Bacteria
Description: partial 16S ribosomal RNA
Rfam family: Bacterial small subunit ribosomal RNA
Source: RNAcentral
UACAGAGGUCUCAAGCGUUGUUCGGAUUCAUUGGGCGUAAAGGGUGCGUAGGUGGCGCCGUAAGUCAGGUGUGAAAUUUCGGAGCUUAACUCCGAAACUGCAUUUGAUACUGCGGUGCUUGAGGACUGGAGAGGAGACUGGAAUUUACGGUGUAGCAGUGAAAUGCGUAGAGAUCGUGAGGAAGACCAGUGGCGAAGGCGGGUCUCUGGACAGUUCCUGACGCUGAGGCGCGAAGGCCAGGGGAGCAAACGGG